This 401-nucleotide ribosomal RNA is filed under the name uncultured bacterium. RNAcentral describes it as "bacterial SSU rRNA". It matches the Rfam family "Bacterial small subunit ribosomal RNA", at positions 28 to 420 of the family's 1533-position model. The record is from RNAcentral.
GACGAACGCUGGCGGCGUGCUUAACACAUGCAAGUCGAGCGGUAAGGCCCUUUCGGGGGUACGACGAGCGGCGAACGGGUAGAGUAACACGUGGGUGGACCUGCCCUCCAGCUCUGGGAGUAAGCCCGGGAAACGUAGGGUCGUAAUAACUGGAUAUUACUCUGCGGUGCAUGCCGUGGGGUGGAAGCCUUGUGCGGCUGGGGAGUGGGCCCGCGGCCUAUCAGCUUGUUGGUGGGGUGAUGGCCUACCAAGGCGACGACGGGUAGCCGGCCUGAGAGGGCGACCGGCCGACACUGGGACUGAGACACGGCCCAGACUCCUACGGGAGGCAGCAGUGGGGAAUCUUGCGCAAUGGGCGAAAGCCUGACGCAGCGACGCCGCGUGAGGGAUGACGGCCUGGU